GAAAGAAGAAAGUUAGGGAAAAAAUCUGAUUUGAAUUUGUAGAAUAAUAAUAAUAAUAAUAAUAAUAAUAAGAAUGUGAGGGGUGGUGUUUGUGUGAGUUGGUGGCGUAAGCAGGGGAAGCGGUUGAAGAAAGAAAUGGGGAUUUUGACCUGGUUGUUGUUGGCCAUUGUUCACUCACUCUAAUUGUAAUAUGCAAUAAUAUUAUCGAGAAGAGAAGAGAAGAGAAGAGAACGCAUAUCUUGAUGAAGAGCUCUCUGAAAAAGUUGCGAGGUCUGGCGCUUCACAAUCACAAUCACAAGCAUGCCUCCUCCAAGUCUAUUCAGCCUCUGGACCAGCUUGACGAGCUGGCUCAGGCCACAGAGGACAUGCAAGACAUGAGGGACUGCUACGACACCUUGCUUUCCGCCGCCGCAGCAACCGCCAGCAGUGCUUAUGAAUUCUCCGAGUCCUUGCGAGACAUGGGCUCAUGUCUUCUUGAGAAGACCGCCUUGAAUGAUCAAGGAGAAGAAACCGGAAAAGUUCUCCUCAUGCUUGGCAAAAUCCAGUUCAAACUUCAGAAACUCAUCGAUAACUAUCGUUCUCAUAUAUUCCAGACUAUUACCAUUCCCUCAGAGUCUCUCUUGAAUGAACUUCGAAUUGUCGAGGAGAUGAAGCGACAAUGUGAUGAAAAGAGAAAUGUAUACGAGUAUAUGGCAACAAGAUAUAGAGAAAGAGGUAGGUCUAAAGGUGGAAAAGGGGAAACAUUUUCGUUGCAGCAAUUGCAAACUGCUCGUGAUGAAUAUGAUGAGGAGGCUACAUUGUUUGUUUUCCGAUUGAAAUCUCUGAAGCAAGGACAAUCGCGUAGUCUUUUAACACAGGCAGCACGUCACCAUGCUGCUCAGUUAUGUUUCUUCAAGAAAGCAGUCAAGUCUCUUGAGACAGUUGAACCACAUGUAAAAUCAGUAAGUGAACAGCAACACAUUGAUUACCACUUCAGUGGUCUUGAAGAGGAGGAUGGUGAUGAAGGUGACUAUGGAGAUGAUGAUGAUGUUGGUUAUGAUGAGAAUGAUGAUGGGGAGCUGAGUUUUGACUACGGAGAAAUGGAGCAAGACCAAGAUGCUUCUACAUCACGGAACUCAAUGGAGCUGGACCAGGUGGAACUUACCCUUCCUAGAGGUUCUACAGCUGAAGCUGCUAAGGAAAACUUAGAUAAGCUUCAAAGAAAUUUGUUUUCCUUUAGGGUUAGGACAGUAAGCCAAUCUGCCCCACUUUUUGCUGAUAAUAAACCUGAUUCAAGCGAAAAACUGAGACAGAUGCGCCCAUCUUUAUCACGGAAGUUCAGUUCUUAUGUGCUACCUACGCCAGUUGAUGCAAAGAGUUCAACCUCUUCAGGGUCUAAUAAUCCAAAGCUUUCCAAAAUGCAGACAAAUUUAAAUGAACCUACGAAGAAUUUGAGACAUUCAUCCCCUUUGGAACAAAAGAAACAUGAAAAAGACAUUGGAGAUGAGUUUUCUGGUCCAACUGUCAGAAGUGCACAGUCUGUUCUCAAGGAAAGUAACAAAACUACUACCUCCACGAGAUUGCCACCUCCUUUGGUAGAUAGUCUUUUAUCCGCAAAUCGUGAUUAUGUAUCUGCUUACUCUAAAAAGAUUAAAAGACAUGCCUUUUCUGGUCCAUUGACAAGUAAUCCUUGGCCUAGCAAGCCUGUUUCGGCAGAAAGUGUUCAACUGUUCUCUGGACCUCUUUUGCCAACUCCAAUCCCUCAGCCUCCAUCAUCAUCUCCGAAAGUAUCUCCUAGUGCAUCUCCUACUCUCAUGUCUUCACCUAAAAUAAGUGAGCUACAUGAACUUCCGAGGCCUCCAACCAGUUUCCCAUCCAAUUCAAGGCUUUUAGGUUUGGUGGGUCAUUCAGGUCCAUUGGUGUCUAGAGGUCCCAAGGUUUCUGCUGCAAAUAAUUUGGUUGCACCAAGUGCAGCAUCUCCACUACCAAUUCCACCUCAAGGGAUGGCUCGCAGUUUCUCCAUACCUUCUAGUGGUGCUAGAGUUGCAGCAUUACAUGGGUCAAGAACAUUAGAAUCAUCUCAUAGAUCAUCUAUAUCUGAAGAUAUCACUUCGCCUCCUCUGACACCAAUUGCAUUAUCUAGUAGUCGGCCAUCAUCAGAUGGCUGAGACUGUUCUUGAUGUUUAGACCAGCAGCUAGAUUACAUAAAAUGUUCUCCGGUGGCGAGUCCCACCAUAUGAACUGAUCAACAUGAAUAACUUCAGAGGCUAGAAUAUGAGCUAUACCAUUGGCAUUUCUCCUAGUGAUGGAAAAACACGGAAGAAAACUGGGUAGCUAUCUGUAUACAAUCCUGAAUGAUAGGUUAGGGAACAACACUUCAUUUACCCCCCUUGCACAGCUGUAAAAGUGACAGAAGAAUCAGCUUAUGUUUCAAUGUUUUCCAUAGGCUUGGUAACAUAACAUGUCCAACAGGUGGGGCUUCUGUUUUUAAUUGGCGGGUUACAUAAUCUAGGACAUGAUAGGAAUGUACAUGUUUUUACCAAUAUUAAGCAAUGAACCCGGAUAUGGUCAAUGGACUUGUGCAGAUUAAUUCCACUUACGUCUGAAGUUAGCCUGUUUACGACCUGGCAAAUUAAGCUUAGAUCAAGCAAUCUUAGAUCAAGUUUUGCUUGCUUAGUUGCAAAUCUGUAAAUAUUCGUUUUACUUUAUCGUAGGCUUGUCUUAUUGAAAUAAAUGUCCAUCGGUUCUAUUGUUGAAAUAUUUAUUCAAGCAAUUGACAUUAAUAC
Molecule: RNA transcript, 2765 nt
Organism: Abrus precatorius (Indian licorice)
Lineage: Eukaryota; Viridiplantae; Streptophyta; Magnoliopsida; Fabales; Fabaceae
Exons: 12
Source: RefSeq, a predicted model, not a curated record